RNAcentral lists this ribosomal RNA (26 nucleotides) under Cladonia verticillata. Its description in RNAcentral is "partial 5.8S ribosomal RNA". The record is from RNAcentral. Lineage: Eukaryota; Fungi; Ascomycota; Lecanoromycetes; Lecanorales; Cladoniaceae.
GGGGCAUGCCUGUUCGAGCGUCAUUA